This 1056-nucleotide long non-coding RNA is filed under the name Triticum aestivum (bread wheat). RNAcentral's name for it is "long non-coding RNA (TAES_LNC002118)". Lineage: Eukaryota; Viridiplantae; Streptophyta; Magnoliopsida; Poales; Poaceae. The record is from RNAcentral.
ACAAUGAAAGCAUGUUAAUUCCAUGUAAACUGCCACGCCUGCCAUUUAAGCAAUAAAUAAACUGUCAUACAAAAUUAAUAGAAACAGAGCAUAACACAUGAGCAGCUUUACUAACGAUGGCAUAGGUCAAAAUUCACAUGCAUAAGAGCAUGAAUUGCUCGUUCUGUUAUCCUUUAGAUGCACGGUGUUACCCAGCAUAUGAACCUGAGAUCUGGAUCUAAUUAGUAUUAGACAAAUCUGAAUCCGAUACCAGGCUAUUGUGUAGUCUUUCACCGUUCUUCGAAUAAUUAAUAAUUCCCAGCUUCGAUCAAAGACCGGCACACUCAUUCAAUUGCAAAACUGAAACACAAAAAAGCGAAACGUAUGUACUUAAAACGAAGCUGUCUGAUGAGAAGUCAGCCUAAUUUGUGCCCAAUAAUUCUACUUCCCAUUCAAACAUUAACAAGCAUCCAUACAAAAGUUGCAGUGUUUAUUAAGACUGAGGGCCUGCUUGGAUUGGGGAAUUUAUUGUGUGCUCCUCAAUAUUUAAGUCAUUUCACAGAAAACCUGCUCAAUUCAAGCAGAGUCGGGCAUAUGAAAUUCAUCUUGACGACCCCCUCCUCAUAUGCGAGUGAGAAGAGUGCAUACAUGUAACAACACAUGGACACAUGAAAAAAAAAUAUUUACUUGUGUGCAGGUCGAGGACAACACCGUGACAUACAGACUCACAUUCCCUAACACAACGUACUUGGAAAGUAUCUAGAAACAGACUAUCUAGUGCAUGCAUAUGUACCCAGAACAAUAAGAAAGCAGAUAACCACUGACAGCACGGACAAAUUUUGACAGAAUACAAAUGAACCGCCGAUCAACCAGACCAAUCGACUUAUCCUGCAGCACGUAGAUCAGAGCUUAAAGGGGACGAAUCCACCGACGGAGAUGACGACGAGGAAGAGCAGCACGUAGAUCAAAGCUUAAAGGGGACGAAUCCACCGGCAGAGAUGACGACGAGGAGCAGCAGGUAGUUCAGAGCUUAAAGGGGACGAAUCCACCGACGGAGAUGACGACGAGGAGCAGCAG